GAUGAACGCUAGCGGCAGGCUUAACACAUGCAAGUCGAGGGGCAGCAUACCCAGCAAUGGGUGAUGGCGACCGGCGGAAGGGUGCGUAACGCGUGAGCAACAUGCCCAUAUCAGUGGGAUAAUCCAGGGAAACUUGGUCUAAUACCACAUAGUAUCUUUUAGAGACAUCUUUAAAAGAUUAAAGAUUUAUCGGAUAUGGAUUGGCUCGCGUGACAUUAGCUAGAUGGUAGGGUAACGGCCUACCAUGGCAAUGAUGUCUAGGGGUUCUGAGAGGAAGGUCCCCCACACUGGAACUGAGACACGGUCCAGACUCCUACGGGAGGCAGCAGUGAGGAAUAUUGGACAAUGGAUGGAAAUCUGAUCCAGCCAUGCCGCGUGCAGGAAGAAGGUCCUAUGGAUUGUAAACUGCUUUUGUACGGGAGCAAUAAGGGCUAUGCGUAGUUCGAUGAGAGUACCGUACGAAUAAGGAUCGGCUAAC
This 478-nucleotide ribosomal RNA is filed under the name uncultured bacterium. Its description in RNAcentral is "bacterial SSU rRNA". It matches the Rfam family "Bacterial small subunit ribosomal RNA", at positions 28 to 501 of the family's 1533-position model. The record is from RNAcentral.